GAUGAACGCUGGCGGCGUGCUUAACACAUGCAAGUCGAGCGGAGCGGCGAACGGGUGAGUAAAGCGUGAGUAAUUGCCCCCCUCUCUGGGAUAACAGUUGGAAACGGCUGCUAAUAACGGAUAGCGGGGGAUGACUCGCGUCCUAUCGGCUUGUUGGUGGGGUAGUAGCCUACCAAGGCGACGACGGGUAGCCGGCCUGAGAGGGCGACCGGCCACAAUGGGCUGAUGUACGGCCCAAACUCGUACGGGAGGCAGCAGUGGGGAAUAUUGCACAAUGAGGGAAACCCUAAUGCAGCAACGCCGCGUGCGGGAUGACCGCCUUCGGGUUGUAAACCGCUUUCAGCCAUGACGCGGUAGUGGCAGAAGAAGCACCGGCUAACUACGUGCCAGCAGCCGCGGUAAUUC
RNAcentral lists this ribosomal RNA (405 nucleotides) under uncultured bacterium. RNAcentral describes it as "partial 16S ribosomal RNA". It matches the Rfam family "Bacterial small subunit ribosomal RNA", at positions 28 to 526 of the family's 1533-position model. The record is from RNAcentral.